UGGGGAAUAUUGCACAAUGGGCGAAAGCCUGAUGCAGCAACGCCGCGUGAGGGAAGACGGUUUUCGGAUUGUAAACCUCUGUUUUCGGUGACGAACAAAUGACGGUAACCGAGUAGGAAGCCACGGCUAACUACGUGCCAGCAGCCGCGGUAAUACGUAGGUGGCAAGCGUUAUCCGGAAUUACUGGGUGUAAAGGGAGCGCAGGCGGGAUAGCAAGUCAGCUGUGAAAACUAUGGGCUCAACCCAUAAACUGCAGUUGAAACUGUUAUUCUUGAGUGGAGUAGAGGCAAGCGGAAUUCCGAGUGUAGCGGUGAAAUGCGUAGAUAUUCGGAGGAACACCAGUGGCGAAGGCGGCUUGCUGGGCUCUAACUGACGCUGAGGCUCGAAAGUGUGGGGAGCAAACAGGAUUAGAUACC
This 416-nucleotide ribosomal RNA is filed under the name uncultured bacterium. RNAcentral describes it as "bacterial SSU rRNA". It matches the Rfam family "Bacterial small subunit ribosomal RNA", at positions 355 to 786 of the family's 1533-position model. The record is from RNAcentral.